Ziziphus jujuba (common jujube) is the source of this 3688-nucleotide RNA transcript. It is a transcript of the gene named probable 3-deoxy-D-manno-octulosonic acid transferase, mitochondrial, with no coding region annotated. The transcript has 14 exons. The record is from RefSeq and is a predicted model, not a curated record. NCBI's taxonomy places the organism in Eukaryota, Viridiplantae, Streptophyta, Magnoliopsida, Rosales, Rhamnaceae.
UGUGGGUAUUCGGGCAGAGAGAGUACCCAAAAAAAAUCUGAUUUAUUCCUAGCGAUCCAUCGAAAAAUGUUGGGGGUAUUCGGGCUUAGGAAUGGAAAUUUGCCCCGACCAAGCCAAUACCCAGUGCACUGCCCUGAUUUUAAGGAUGAAAAAUUCUUCAAAAAAAUGAAACUGAAUUUUAAAAAUCAGCCUCGUCCUUUCUCGUUCGCAUUCGUAUUCAAAUUCGACUAAGCAAGUACCUAGGCCCCACCUGUGAACCAUCUUGCUGGGCCCACCGGACCUUCCUAGGUCCGUACUGUUUUGUAAACGCCACUAGUGGAAGACCACGAAACGUUUCGUCUCCAAAGCAAAGCGUGAGAGAGCGAUCGAAUUCGAACCCAACCAACGGCCUAAUCAAAAACACUCGGAACCAAAAAUGGCGGCAACGAAAGGAAAGCUGAUGUACAAGAUUUACAGAGCUCUGAGCUACGGUCUCUCUCCGAUUCUCUACCUUCACCUUCGCUGGAGACAGUGCCGAGGACUCGAACACCCGCUCCGUUGGCCCGAACGCCUUGGCCAAGCUUCCCUUCCUCGUCCCCCUGGUCCUCUCCUCUGGUUCCACGCCGUCUCUCUAGGCGAAGGAAUGACUGCGAUUCCUGUAAUUAGAGAAUGUAUUCAGAACAGACCUGAUUUAACCAUCUUGAUGACCACUACUGCCGCCUCAGCAUUUGAAGUUAUAAAGAAUCGUCUUCCAAACGGUGUGAUAUACCAGUUUGCCCCAGUUGACACCCCUGCUGCUAUAAAUGCUUUCCUUGGCUAUUGGAAGCCCAAUGCAAUUGCAAUUAUGGAGAAUGAACUGUGGCCAAACCUUAUUAUGGAUGCUUCGGAAAAGGGUAUUGCACUGGCAUUAUUAAAUGCUCGCGUUUCUGCUAAAUCAUUUAAUCGUUGGUCAACACCAGUGAUUCUUCCACUGAUUGCAUUGAUGCUGUCAAAGUUUUCGCUGAUUGUUCCGUUGAGUAAUAUGCAGGCAAUUCAUUUUCAGCUACUGCUUGCCCCACCUUUUAUCAUAAACUUUUCUGGUGACUUGAAAUUCGCGGUUAAAGAAUUUGACAUUUCUGAGAGAAAGGUAAAAAGUAUAGAAGAUCUGAAGGUACAGCUUGCUCACAGGCAGGUUUGGAUGGCUUCUUCCAUUCACAAGGGAGAAGAAGAAGCGAUACUAGGCGUUCAUGAAGUGCUCAUACAAGUAGUCCCUGAUUUGAUCACAAUCAUUGCGCCUCGGUAUCCACAGCACGGACAAGAGAUUGCUCAAAAGUUGCAGAAAGAAGGGAAAAGUGUAGCUUUGAGGUCUCGAGGUGAUAAACUCAUAACAGGAACAAACAUAUAUAUAGUGGACACAUUGGGUGAAUUGAGAUACUUAUAUGGUUUGACUCCUAUAGCUGUGAUUGGAGGUUCCUUCUUGCCCUAUUUUACUGGUCACAACAUAGCAGAAGCUGCUGCAGCUGGUUGUGCAAUUUUGACUGGUCCUCAUGUAGGACAUUUCUCACGCAUGGUUUUGGAAAUGCAACGGUCAAAUCCUUUGUCAGUUCUGCAGGUUUCUGGAAAAUUAGAGCUUGAACAAGCUCUUAGAAAGCUCUUUAGCAAUGUCAAAGUUCUUGAAGUGCAUCGUAUGGCUGCGAAACAAGCAUAUUAUGCUCUGUCAAGUGGUAUUGUUGCCAAAGUUUGGAAUCUACUAAAUUAUCAAGUUCUGCAAAAGCUUUGAACUCAAAAGUAAUUGAGGACCAGUGUGAAACAAAAAUUAUGUGAAGUUUGCUCCAUGAAACCUUUGCAGUUAUGGAUGCUGUUGACAUCCAACAUUUAGCCUAGGCACUGCCGAGUCACACACUCUUAAAAAUUAUUGGCAGCUCUAACAAUUGGUCUUGCAUUGUUUACUUUUCAUCUCAUUGAAAAGGAAUGUAACUUAUAGAUGUUGAUACUGUGGAAAGAAAAGUAUGCUAGAGUAAAUGUAAACUCUGAAGCUUUUUUCCCAUCAUAUGUUGUUUUCUCUUCUGUUUUUAGAGGAACUUUAUGUGUUAUUUCCCUUAUAUGAAACAUCACGCAAGAUGCAUUGAUGGGAACAUGAUUAGAACUAUUGCAAGUUGGAGGUAACAAUGCCAAUAACCCCCUAUGCUUUUUUAUUAGUUCUUACUAAUUAUUUUAUAACUGCAUCAUCUUUAUGUUUUCAAAUGUCAAGGAUUGAGGAAAGGAAAACUUGUGUAUUUGUGAUAAAAUUUUGCUCAGUGCUUACUGCUUGAGGUCACAUCUAAGAAACCUCUUCACUUGAAUUGAUGGCAACAACUUUUUCUGCCUCUCAAGCUUUUCAGCAUUGCAUAAUCUAUUGGAUAGAUGUUCUAAUUGCAUAAUCUAUUCAUUUUUAAAGUUAUUAUUAUUACAACUAUGCAUAUCAUCUGCAGAAAUCUAUACCUGUAAUGAGUUCAUUUUCCAUUUCUAUAUAUUUCCUUUUCGUUUUUUGGGUGCUAGCUGGGAACCUGUUCAACUGAAAACUGUCACAGAUGCAUAUUUCCAUUUUUUAUUUUUUAUUUUUUAUUUUUCCACAAAUGAAUGGUACUCUGUUCCAAGUCAAUCAAUAUUAGUACAUAUACUGCAGUUGAUGAUCCUAGGUAGAGCACAGUUCAGCAAUAGAUGGACUUCCCAUUCUGGUCACUGCCAGCUCUGUAGGGCCAGUAAAAGAAAACAUAAUGAUCUAAGUUACCAAUAUUUUUGCUCCUUUAAAUGCCUCCAUAACAUCUAGUCUAGCAUGACACAGUCAUGAAGGAGCGGUGUGGAAUCCCUCCACGAGCUGAACAUCAGGGUAUCUCCUGCCUCAGGACCUGAGAAUUGACUCAUAGACAUACCACAUUUUAGAGCGUGAAGUAUAUCUUCAAAAAGAAACUCACUACAUGGUAUAGUUAAUGGACCAAUCUUAUUGUAGCCAUACUUUUCAUAAGCUAGGUGUAGCAGCUGCUGGAAGACUGGUUGGUUUAGGUAGUCUGCUCUUAUAACAAACCUUCUUCUAGUUUCUCCCACUAUCACAGCCAAGUGACCAGGAGGAACAUCUGGAGGCAGUUCCUUGUGACGACCUCUGGCUAGCCUCCGCCACAUGCUAGCCAUUCUUUUGAGCUUGACAAUGCUGCAGGUGUCACUUAUAGCAUACUGCUCUCUAGCCAUGAAGUUUCAGAUAUUUUUGUAGAUUGUCAAAUUCAGAGACUUCAAAGUGGAAGGAGGUUCGUUGGACCUGUAGGGACUAAGAAGACCUAAUACGUUAUAGUUGGACGUAAGAGUAACCCAGUCAAAGCUCUUACAAGGUUGGUGGGAUACUUUGUAGGCAGUCUCAUCUUGGAAGUUCUUACUUGUACGAUCCGUUUCUCAAAGGGGCCAGUUUGGUACGGCUUUUAGGAGGUAAGAAACAUGGUAUUCCAUAUUAAAUUCUUUGAUGUUGAAUCCUUGCAUUCGAGUAUGGUAGAUAGCUCGAGAAAAAUAAGAUGGUAACUAUCUUUUCUAUAGCUAGGAGGGAAGGAAACUAGGAUUUGAGUACCUUGGUCCCACAAUGUCAUGUGAGCUUUGGAGUUUUGGUGGAAGAAGACACUAGAUUUUGAUUUGAUCUAGUAAUUGGUUCUAUAACGUUUACUUGAAAUUUUUUUAAUAAAAUCAGAGAAACCAUUACCGGUCUUGA